AGCCAGUCUGCCUCUCUUGCAUCUUUCGGGAUUUGUCUUCUGUCUUAACAGUCUCUUACAAAAAUCCACUUUACUUCCAUAGUCAAUGGCUUCCCAUGACCAUCAUCAUCAUGAUCAUCACCCAACAAAGAUGAAGCGAUGGAGAUUCAGCAACUAAAUCAUGGGGACGGUGUACCAUAGCCACGAUGGACUCGCACCACACUCGCAUGAACCCAUUUACUCUCCUGGCUUCUUCAGUAGAAGAACUCCUCCUCUUCUCUCAAGAAACUAAAACGAGAGAGCCUUCACUGUUGAUAUUGGCGGUCCUGUUGGUACUGGGAAAAUAGCUUUGAUGCGGGCUUUAUGUAAAUUCUUACGGGACAAACUGUGUCAGAGCGACAACAACAUGCUUCGUCUUAGACAGAUUUAUUGAUGGUGACAAAUGAUAUAUUCACAAAAGAGGAUGGUGAGUUCCUGAUGAAGAAUGGUGCCCUGCCAGAGGAAAGGAUACAUGCUGUGGAAACACAGGAGGCUGUCCACAUGCUGCAAUUCGUGAAGACAUCAGCAUACAUCUUGGCCUUCUGGAGGAACUUACUAACUUGUUCAAAGAAGACAUUCUUCUUUGUGAAUCUGGGGGAGGUAUUCUAUUAAUGAAUACAUUUCCUCGAUAUGCAUUUUCUACUGAAGUGAUCUUGUUGAGCUCUAUUAAACUGAUGCUAAUUGAAUGAUGGAGUUGGCUUAUCCUGAUUUA
Long non-coding RNA from Mangifera indica (mango), 730 nucleotides. RefSeq lists it as uncharacterized. The record is from RefSeq and is a predicted model, not a curated record. NCBI's taxonomy places the organism in Eukaryota, Viridiplantae, Streptophyta, Magnoliopsida, Sapindales, Anacardiaceae. The transcript has 5 exons.